AUUGAACGCUGGCGGCAUGCCUUACACAUGCAAGUCGAACGGCAGCACGGGUGCUUGCACCUGGUGGCGAGUGGCGAACGGGUGAGUAAUAUAUCGGAACGUACCUUAUCGUGGGGGAUAACGCAGCGAAAGCUGCGCUAAUACCGCAUACGCCCUGAGGGGGAAAGCGGGGGACCGUAAGGCCUCGCGCGAUUAGAGCGGCCGAUAUCUGAUUAGCUAGUUGAUGAGGUAAAGGCUCACCAAGGCAACGAUCAGUAGCUGGUCUGAGAGGACGAUCAGCCACACUGGGACUGAGACACGGCCCAGACUCCUACGGGAGGCAGCAGUGGGGAAUUUUGGACAAUGGGGGCAACCCUGAUCCAGCAAUGCCGCGUGAGUGAAGAAGGCCUU
Molecule: ribosomal RNA, 390 nt
Filed under: uncultured bacterium
Lineage: Bacteria
Description: bacterial SSU rRNA
Rfam family: Bacterial small subunit ribosomal RNA
Source: RNAcentral